GCGGGAUGGAGCAGUUGGUAGCUCGCUUGGCUCAUAACCAAGAGGUCGCCGGUUCGAGUCCGGCUCUCCGCCA
RNAcentral lists this transfer RNA (73 nucleotides) under Bacteroides ovatus. RNAcentral describes it as "tRNA-Met". It matches the Rfam family "tRNA". Rfam says of the family: Transfer RNA (tRNA) molecules are approximately 80 nucleotides in length. The record is from RNAcentral. Lineage: Bacteria; Pseudomonadati; Bacteroidota; Bacteroidia; Bacteroidales; Bacteroidaceae. RNAcentral also lists the same sequence under 4 other names.